GCGACAUUAGCUCCGUGAUUAGAGCUAUACCCUGCCAAGGUAUACGUCAGCGGUUCGAACCCGAUAUGUCGCACCA
Molecule: transfer RNA, 76 nt
Filed under: Shewanella putrefaciens
Lineage: Bacteria; Pseudomonadati; Pseudomonadota; Gammaproteobacteria; Alteromonadales; Shewanellaceae
Description: tRNA-Gly
Rfam family: tRNA
About the family: Transfer RNA (tRNA) molecules are approximately 80 nucleotides in length. Their secondary structure includes four short double-helical elements and three loops (D, anti-codon, and T loops). Further hydrogen bonds mediate the characteristic L-shaped molecular structure. tRNAs have two regions of fundamental functional importance: the anti-codon, which is responsible for specific mRNA codon recognition, and the 3' end, to which the tRNAs corresponding amino acid is attached (by aminoacyl-tRNA synthetases). tRNAs cope with the degeneracy of the genetic code in two manners: having more than one tRNA (with a specific anti-codon) for a particular amino acid; and 'wobble' base-pairing, i.e. permitting non-standard base-pairing at the 3rd anti-codon position.
Source: RNAcentral